CAGGGUUCCAUAUGGUCAGUUACGGCUCCCAGGACAUUAGUAGCAGGAAGCACAACCGUGGAAGCCUUGGGAGCCACUGGGGAGCCCAGUACCUGCCCCUGAAAUGUCUCUCCAGCUGGUCCUAGACCCACUACGGGGUGCUCUGCUGGUGACGUCUGAAAACUUGACACAGUCCCAGGAUUCUCUGGGUUUCCCUAGGACACCCUGCAUCUCUGAACAACGGAAAACGAAUUCAGAAGAAAAUAACACAUGGCUUGAAUCAAAACAUUCAGAGAAAAUCAAGUGAGGAGGAAACACACUGCUUGGGACUAGAGCGGACACUUCCCUAAGCACAGAGCAACAGAGCAACAUGAACCACAGUCUCAGAAGCAUAAGCAACAAGACUACGGUGGGAGGCAUGAUGAGAACUGGAGAGGACCACUUCCUUCUAUCAACACAAGAUUCUCUCCCACGACAAAAGAGCUAAAAAAAAAAAAAAAAGAAAAGGAUGGUGGCUCCACUGACUGAAAGAAAGAUAAGAGAAAAUAACCAAGAUAACAGAUACUGGCUGAGGAGGAGUUGGAGCUGCCGGCCUUCCCCAGGCAGUCCUUCUGCUUCAGCUGCCUUUGUUCCAGAGAUGAGCUAUGAAGAAUAUCCGCCUGUUCUGGAAAAUGGACAACUGUGGGGGAGGACGACUGCGUUCCAAGAAAAGAACAAAACCAGACCAUUUCCAACAAUAAUUAAGAAACCAAGGUGUGGUGAAAAAUCUGCAUAAAAGGCUUUAGAAUAAGGUCAUCCAAAUAUAUUUGUACAUAGAACUGGAAACACAUAAAACAUCCUUUCAUUAAAACCGUGCAUAUUUGAGAUUCUUGACU
This is a long non-coding RNA of Canis lupus familiaris (dog), 854 nucleotides long. RefSeq lists it as uncharacterized. The record is from RefSeq and is a predicted model, not a curated record. The transcript has 3 exons. Lineage: Eukaryota; Metazoa; Chordata; Mammalia; Carnivora; Canidae.